RNAcentral lists this non-coding RNA (124 nucleotides) under Amazona aestiva (blue-fronted amazon). The record is from RNAcentral. Lineage: Eukaryota; Metazoa; Chordata; Aves; Psittaciformes; Psittacidae.
UGGUUUGUGAUGCUAAGACAGUUGCCUACAGCUGAUGAGCUCCAGGAAGAGUAAAACCAGUUCUCUUCUGUUAGCAGCNGUGAAAAAAAAGGACUGGUCCUGUAGUACUGUCCAGCAUCGAAAU